RNAcentral lists this ribosomal RNA (300 nucleotides) under uncultured bacterium. RNAcentral describes it as "bacterial SSU rRNA". It matches the Rfam family "Bacterial small subunit ribosomal RNA", at positions 790 to 1084 of the family's 1533-position model. The record is from RNAcentral.
GUAGUCCACGCCCUAAACGAUGUCAACUGGUUGUUGGUGGGGUUAAACCCAUUAGUAACGAAGCUAACGCGUGAAGUUGACCGCCUGGGGAGUACGGCCGCAAGGUUAAAACUCAAAGGAAUUGACGGGGACCCGCACAAGCGGUGGAGCAUGUGGUUUAAUUCGAGGCAACGCGAAGAACCUUACCAGGCCUUGACAUGGUUAGUAUGGACUCCGGAAACGGAGUUCUUCAGUUUGGCUGGCUAACACACAGGUGUUGCAUGGCUGUCGUCAGCUCGUGUCGUGAGAUGUUGGGUUAAG